GAUUUAUAAUUUGUAGUAUAGGUAUGGUAAUAUAAUAUAGGAGUUUGGUGUAGUUAGUAACAUCUAGGUUUUCAAAACCUAAGUGGAGGGUGCAAUUCCCUCAACUCUUGCAAUACUAUGGGUAAUAUCUAAUGUUUAUUUAUGUUGUAAUAUUUAAUUUAAGAUAGUGUGUGAGGUUGACGGCGUCGUAAAGUUACAAAGAAAAGAGGAAAAAGCGUUGAGAUAAGCUUUUGCAAAAGCAAAGUAAAAGAUUAUAGUAGCGUAGUGGGAAAAAAUAAAAUAUAAAAGAUAGAAGAUGAUUCUAAUUUUAUAGAAAAAAGUUUAAUACAAAAAAUCGUAAUAAGUGAAAGGAGAGUAGUGGGGUUAGUUAUAAAGGGUGAAGUACUUAUAAUCGAGAAGUGGAAAUUCAAUGAAUAAAACUGAUAGUGAAUAAGUACUGUGAGGGAAUGAAAAAAUAAAAGAACAAAGAUAGUAAAUUUACCUUGUGUAUUAGGUAUCAUUGACUUACAAUUGAUUGGCGAGGUGAUAAACCGAAUGAGUCGACAAUUGUAAACACGAAGCGUAUUGAUCUACGCAAGUCUAGAUUUAAAAGAUCUAACUAGUGUUUGUAGCAACAAACUUAGGUAAGGCUUGCGUAGGGGUGAUAGGCCAAUCAAAAUACGUAAUAGCUUGUUGUCUUUGAACUACGUUUAGCGUAGCGGGUUGGGGAUAGUAUAGUAGGUAAUCUUUUAGAAAAGGUUGCGAACUAUGUGAGAAGGUUACGGGGGAGUGGGUGUAUUUGCUUGAAGGUAAAUACACAAAAAGAAAAAAGUCUAGGUAAUUAUUUAAAAUAUUAAAUAAUAACGUAGCAAAACGGAGGUGUCAUUGGGUAGAAGUAGAUUUUUAAUAGUAGCUUUAGUAGUAAGUAUUAAAUAUAAAGUAUAAAAACUAAAAAAAUAAACCAAUGAUACCCUAGGAAUUUAUGGUAAAGGGUUAGAGUAUUGAAAAUAUUAAAUUAAGUUAAAUUGGUAAAAGACCGUCAAUUUAAUGAAAUUUAUUUAAAGAGUGAGAAUGAAAAUUGAGUGAGAGUGAUGAUAUGAGUAAGAGUAAUAGGGGGUGUUGUAUUGUAUAUAGGAGAGUCAUUGCUAAAGGACAGUAGAUAGGAAAGUAUUUGAAGACAAAGGUGAAGACCGUAGUUAAAAAUAAUUACAUAUCGAUUGGAGAUAAAGCAAAGGUAAGCGAGUUCAAGUGUAAUUGAAUAAACUUAAUUAAAGCCGACACAGGUAUACAAUGCAAGUAGCAAACCAAUAGAGUGACAAUCGUUAAGGGAAUUCGGCAAAAUGGUGACGUAACAAAGCGAGAAGUUAAUCUAAAGGUUUGAUUUGAGAGAGAAGGAGAGAGAGUGGGGUCUAUUUAAUAAAAAUAUAGGGGUCGUGGUAUGGAGCAAUCUAAUGAGAAGUGAUUUCGAUGCUUGCCCGGUGGCUUGAGCCGGAUAAAGUUGAUGAAGUUAAUGUAGAAAGCAAAGUUAAACGGUCGUCUUAACCUUGAGGAUGUGAAGGUAGUGUAAUCUAUUGGCUAUUGAUUGUAGUCUUAUGAAAGCAUAACCAUCGUUCUACUAUCCAUAAGGGUUACUUGGUGAAAUUGAAGUAGUUGUGCAGAUGCGAUUAGAGUGUGAAGGGACGAGAAGACCCUACACAUCUUUACUAUAAUACUUUUAUAAAAUUGAAGGAGUGGAAUAGUAUUGUAUUUUUUUAAGGUUGGUUGAGAGGGUUGGGUAGUUUAAUUGGGGCAAUAGCCUCCAAAAGAGUAAUGGGGGUUGUGCAAAGGGUGAGGAAUAGUAAUGUAAUAUUGGCUUGACAUAGAUAAAGACAUUUAUCAAGUUGGUAUGCAUUAAAGCGUAUGUCGUAGAUACCGGGUAAUUUUAAUCGAUAAGAUUAUCAACAAGGACGAAGAUACGUUAGGGGUAACAGGUCAAUUGUAAGCAAGAGAAUGUAAUCGAGAUUACGGUUUGAUACCUCGAUGUUGUAUAGGGAUUUCCUGGGGGGGCAUAGUCUCCCAAGGGUUAGUGUGUUCACCUAAUAAAAUCCUACUUGAUAUGAGUUGAAAACGCGGUGACGCAGUUUGGAUUCUAUCUUUCAUAUAAAAAGAAAAAGAAUAGUUUGAUUGGUACGAGAGGAAAUUUAAAGUGAUAAUCACUUAUGGGGGUUGGUAUGUAAAUGUAACAAAAUAAGUUACAUUUAUAAAAAGUAUAGCUUAAUAAAGCAAAAGCAGCAAAUAUGUUGUUUUUCUUUAUUAAGUUAGAGAGAAAACUAA
Molecule: ribosomal RNA, 2292 nt
Filed under: Sargassum fusiforme
Lineage: Eukaryota; Phaeophyceae; Fucales; Sargassaceae
Description: bacterial LSU rRNA
Rfam family: Bacterial large subunit ribosomal RNA (bases 390-2146)
Source: RNAcentral